This 218-nucleotide ribosomal RNA is filed under the name Serratia sp. TKO39. RNAcentral describes it as "partial 16S ribosomal RNA". It matches the Rfam family "Bacterial small subunit ribosomal RNA", at positions 1 to 216 of the family's 1533-position model. The record is from RNAcentral. Lineage: Bacteria; Pseudomonadati; Pseudomonadota; Gammaproteobacteria; Enterobacterales; Yersiniaceae.
UUAAUUGAAGAGUUUGAUCAUGGCUCAGAUUGAACGCUGGCGGCAGGCUUAACACAUGCAAGUCGAGCGGUAGCACAAGGGAGCUUGCUCUCUGGGUGACGAGCGGCGGACGGGUGAGUAAUGUCUGGGAAACUGCCUGAUGGAGGGGGAUAACUACUGGAAACGGUAGCUAAUACCGCAUAACGUCGCAAGACCAAAGAGGGGGACCUUCGGGCCUC